Molecule: long non-coding RNA, 1963 nt
Organism: Chiroxiphia lanceolata (lance-tailed manakin)
Lineage: Eukaryota; Metazoa; Chordata; Aves; Passeriformes; Pipridae
Exons: 2
Source: RefSeq, a predicted model, not a curated record
UCCUCCAGCUCCCGCGCCUCCGCCGCGCCGCUCAUGGCCGGGGCCGGGCACGCCGGGCAGGGCCCCCCUCGGCCCCUCCCCGCCGCUCCGGAGCCCGUCGGGAGGGGCCGGGCGGUUCCUCAGCGCCGCUGCCCCGCCGGGCCCGGCCCGCCCCGGGCCCCCGCUCCGGCCCUCGCGGCCGCCGCCAUCUUGUGCCCGGGGCGGGCGGGGAGCGCCGGGGCUGCCCCGGCCGGGAGGGGAACGGCCCGUAUGUGGAAUAUUGUGUCCCGUUCUGGGCUCCUCCGCACAGAAAAAGGCAACGGGCUACUGCAGAGGGUCCAGCGGAGGCCGCAAAGAUGGCGAGGGGUCUGGAGCAUCUCUGACGAGGAGAGACUGUGGGAGCUGGGCCUGGUUAGUCUGGAGAAAACAGAGAGGAUCUCAUGAAUGCAGAUAAAUAUCUCCAAGGCAGGUGUCAGAGGAUGGUGCCAGGCUCUUUUCAGUGGUGCCCAGCAACAGGACGAGAAGCAACGGCCAUAAACUAAAAUGCAAGAAGUUCCACCGUCAGCAUGAAGACAAACUUCUUUCCAUGGAAGGUGGCAAAGCCCUGGAACAGCUGCCCAGGGAGGGUGUGGAGCCUCCUCCUCUGGAGACAUUCUAAACCCCACCUGGAUAUGUUCCUGUGUCACCUGCUCCAGGUGACCCUGCCUUGGCAGGGGGUUGGACUGGAUGAUCUCUAGUGUUUCCUUCCAACUCGAAUGAUUCUGUGAUUCUAUGUGACCCCUCUGGGUGCUGGGGUGGGAUCCUGGACAGGGUGAAAAGCCCAAAACUGGAGCAUUUCCUCUGACAGGCUCAUCCCACCCUCGCUCACCACCCUGAGACCUGUGUGGAGGCUUGAGGGGAGAAAGUCAUGGGGAGAGGGAGAAAGCUGCCCGGCAAAGGCACAUCACAGAGUCGUUCAGGCUGGAAAAGACCUCUAAGAUCAUCGAGUGCAACCAUUCAUCCAUCACACUGGCCUUGCCCUUUUCAGGGUGUUUUUGACUGGCAGCCUGCCUCCUGCCUGUGAGCUGUGAGGCUGCCAUGGGCUGGGGCAGGAAGGUACCACAAGGAUGGGUUCAAAUCCGUGGGCCAGGAGUGAAAUCCACCAGGGUUUUUCCCCCCAGACAUUUCCAGCCCUGGCACCUCCAAUUCCCAGUCAUCUUCUCACCAGCAUGUUGCUCACACUCUUAAUUAAAUCACUGCAACCUGUAUUGGGGAGCUAAUUUAUCUCCAUGCUUUCUGUUUUGGCAUCAGUGUCUGCCACCAAGGAGAAAUUUGCACUAAGCUAUUUGGUCUUUUUAUUUCAUUGCUUCUCUUUUAUUGCUUAAUUUUUUUAUUAGUGACAUUAUUUUUAGCCUACCGUUUAAUUUUGGACUUGGGUUGCUGUUCCUUUGGUCUGCUGUUCCUGCUCUGGCAGUUGUGGCAAUUAGGUUGUGGUGAUGCCUGCAGCAUUACCUUCCAAACAGUUCCCAAAUAUCUAUCCAUAUAAAUGAAGCUUCAAAACACAAACAAUCAUCUUCCUUUUAAUCAGUCAGGAGAGACAGAGGCCCACAGGCCAGACAUUUCUGUUUCUCCAAGAGAGAAGCAUCCCUGCAAAGUGCCCUUGUGAAGGCAGGAGGGGCAAGCCAGUGAUGACAUUUUUAGCUACCGUGGCAAAGGUUACACGGUGACUCAGUGGUAAGUUUUUCACACCAGAUCACAUGCUGUUCAUCCCAUGCAACAGGCUGCAACACGCUGGGCAAAAAUUUUGCCCAGCUCAUACCAUGAGACUCAACCAACUGUAGGAGAAACAACUGGAUUUAGAGAAUGUUUUGCAAACAACAUUUACCCAGCAACAGCCUUGAAUUCCAAUCUCCGAGACCUGGAAGACCAGCCUUCAACUGGACACUGCUGUUACCUGAAUAUUUUAAUUUGCUUCCUUUUUCAGUAAAAGCAUCUUAAAUGAUCA